RNAcentral lists this ribosomal RNA (516 nucleotides) under uncultured bacterium. RNAcentral describes it as "partial 16S ribosomal RNA". It matches the Rfam family "Bacterial small subunit ribosomal RNA", at positions 355 to 858 of the family's 1533-position model. The record is from RNAcentral.
UGGGGAAUCUUCCGCAAUGGACGAAAGUCUGACGGAGCAACGCCGCGUGAGUGAGGAAGGUUUUCGGAUCGUAAAAACUCUGUCUUUUGGGGCGAACGUGAGUAUGGUGAACAAUCAUAGUCAGUGACGGUACCAAAGGAGGAAGCCACGGCUAACUACGUGCCAGCAGCCGCGGUAAUACGUAGGUGGCAAGCGUUGUCCGGAAUUAUUGGGCGUAAAGAGCGCGUAGGCGGGAUAGUCAGUCUGUUGUAAAAGUGCGGGGCUCAACCCCGUGAUGGCAAUGGAAACAGCUAUUCUUGAGUGCAGGAGAGGAAAGUGGAAUUCCCAGUGUAGCGGUGAAAUGCGUAGAUAUUGGGAGGAACACCAGUGGCGAAGGCGACUUUCUGGACUGUGUCUGACGCUGAGGCGCGAAGGCCAGGGGAGCGAACGGGAUUAGAUACCCCCGGUAGUCCUGGCCGUAAAACGAUGGGUACUAGGUGUGGGGGGUAUCGACCCCUUCCGUGCCGGAGUUAACGC